GACGAACGCUGGCGGCGUGCUUAACACAUGCAAGUCGAGCGGUAAGGCCCUUUCGGGGGUACACGAGCGGCGAACGGGUGAGUAACACGUGGGUGACCUGCCCUCAGCUCUGGGAUAAGCCUGGGAAACCGGGUCUAAUACUGGAUAUGACUCCAUGACGCAUGUUGUGGGGUGGAAAGCCUUGUGCGGCUGAGGAUGGGCCCGCGGCCUACCAGCUUGUUGGUGGGGUGAUGGCCUACCAAGGCGACGACGGGUAGCCGGCCUGAGAGGGCGACCGGCCACACUGGGACUGAGACACGGCCCAGACUCCUACGGGAGGCAGCAGUGGGGAAUCUUGCGCAAUGGGCGAAAGCCUGACGCAGCGACGCCGCGUGAGGGAUGACGGCCU
RNAcentral lists this ribosomal RNA (388 nucleotides) under uncultured bacterium. Its description in RNAcentral is "bacterial SSU rRNA". It matches the Rfam family "Bacterial small subunit ribosomal RNA", at positions 28 to 417 of the family's 1533-position model. The record is from RNAcentral.